Molecule: long non-coding RNA, 1688 nt
Filed under: Chinchilla lanigera (long-tailed chinchilla)
Lineage: Eukaryota; Metazoa; Chordata; Mammalia; Rodentia; Chinchillidae
Description: lncRNA (ENSCLAG00000029271.1)
Source: RNAcentral
UCCCAGCACUCAGGAGGCUGAGGCAGGAGGAUUGUUGUGAGUUCGAGAGCACCCUGGGCUACAAAAUGAGCUCAAGACCAGCCUGAACUGCAUAGUGAGACCCUGUCUCAAAAAGACAAAAAAUAAGUAAAUAAAUAAAAUCAGACUUAAAUUUUGAAACUCAUUUUCCAGGUUAAAGAAAAUGGAAGCAACUACGAGACAGGAAGAGAAACAUUUUCACAAAAGCCAGAUGAAAUAUGGAAGCCAGGAUGGACACGUAAAAAUGGAAAAAAAAAUAAAUUCUGAAGUCUAGGAUAGAAGGACACAAAAAAGAAAACGAGAUGCAUCCAGAGCAGUUGGGUACUGAAGACGGUAUCUGAGAAAGAGGAAACAUCUAGUGGCUACUGGGGUCUAAGGAUAACGCACAGAGGAAAAGAGAGGCACAACCUUGAAAACUGGAAAAGAAUGACUCCCUCAGGGAGACCAGAAUCCUCGGGACUAGCAGAGGCGGCUUCUUCAGCUAAAAAUACAGAAUUCUUUCUAAAAAGUAGUUGAAGGACAGCUCCUUAAAUUUAGGACAGCAACAUUAAGUUGUUCAAGGAAACAAAAAUCAGAACAGGUUGGAGGAGGGAGAACCUGGACCGCCACAGCAAGAUACUCCGAGAUUGAUUAGCUGCAAACAGUGCGUGCUGUACUCGAGUGAAGUCGCCCCACACAGGUGGAGAAGGAAACUCAUUUUAAGAGGUGCUCCUGUGGCCCCCAGGGACCCCGAAGUGCAAUUCCCUGGAAGAGCUGCGCCCGUGACUGACACUCAGGGUCCUGCGGUGGUUUCUCAUGUUCUCCGGAUUCCUAGCUCAAGUGCCAUCCACUGCUCUGUCCUCCCAAGUCCAGAUCCCCUCGCCACUGCGCCCCAGGUUGUCAGCACCAUUCGCACUGGAUGCCUGAGCAGAGUGUUGCCUGGAGUGGCCCUGGGAACGGACCUCGCCAAGAAGAGACUUGUGAGUUUAACGCUCACCACACGCCAAAUAAUUAGACAACUCAAUUUCACUUGACUCUUGUAGAACUGACCCCAACUUACCACCAAGAUUUAUUUUUCACCACAAAGAGAAAAAUACAACCAUGGUUACCCACACUUUAAAAAUUCCUCUCUUCUUGCACAGAGCCUAUACAUCUCUUCAUUUAUUUGUACUUUCUUUGAAACUAUUGUAGCUUCAGAAGCAAAAGGACAAAAAAAAAAAAAGACAAAUCAAAACACAAUGUAGAGGAAUUUAUAAUACUGUCUUAUCCGUCACUGGAAAGGAUAGCUAGAAAUAAAUGAUAAAGAACACUGAUAUAAAAUGAAAAAUCUCUAUGAUAGUGUCAAGACUGCAUUUAAUAAUUAUGCCACAAAUGAAAAACCCAGCCAGGACAGGACUGUAAGUUGCUCUUGCACAGUGGCAUCCCUGGCUUAAUGGAUCAUAGCUUGCAUCCGGUUAUUACCCACAGCGUCCACCCACACCAAGGAGAAGAUGGAGGCACUUCCAGGGUAAGGAUUUCAAAGCACAAGUUCCUGACAGCCUAUGUCAAUGGGUUAAGUUAGUUUAGUUCAGAGAACAUUUAUUAUGCACGGGUGUUCUACUAGCUGCUAGGUACACAAACAUGCCAAAUGAGGGUCACUAUCAGAAAGAAUUCACCUUCCAUCAGUCUUACUUCUAAGUCCUCAAAUCUCG